UUUCCGUAGGUGAACCUGCGGAAGGAUCAUUAACGAGUUAGGGUCUUCCAGGCCCGACCUCCCAACCCUAUGUUUAUUGAACCUCUGUUGCUUCGGCGGACCCGCCUCACGGCCGCCGGAGGACCGCUGCAAGGCGUCCCCUGGCCAGCGUCCGCCGAUGGCCAACCACUUAAACUCUGAAUGAAUCGUGUCAUAUGUCUAAGUCUAUGAUUAAAUUAAAGCAAAACUUUCAACAACGGAUCUCUUGGUUCUG
RNAcentral lists this unclassified non-coding RNA (253 nucleotides) under plant metagenome. Its description in RNAcentral is "partial contains small subunit ribosomal RNA, internal transcribed spacer 1, and 5.8S ribosomal RNA". The record is from RNAcentral.